Molecule: ribosomal RNA, 1001 nt
Filed under: uncultured organism
Description: bacterial SSU rRNA
Rfam family: Bacterial small subunit ribosomal RNA
Source: RNAcentral
GGGGAAUAUUGCACAAUGGGCGAAAGCCUGAUGCAGCGACGCCGCGUGAGCGAAGAAGUAUUUCGGUAUGUAAAGCUCUAUCAGCAGGGAAGAUAAUGACGGUACCUGACUAAGAAGCACCGGCUAAAUACGUGCCAGCAGCCGCGGUAAUACGUAGGUCCCGAGCGUUGUCCGGAUUUAUUGGGCGUAAAGCGAGCGCAGGCGGUUUGAUAAGUCUGAAGUUAAAGGCUGUGGCUCAACCAUAGUUCGCUUUGGAAACUGUCAAACUUGAGUGCAGAAGGGGAGAGUGGAAUUCCAUGUGUAGCGGUGAAAUGCGUAGAUAUAUGGAGGAACACCGGUGGCGAAAGCGGCUCUCUGGUCUGUAACUGACGCUGAGGCUCGAAAGCGUGGAGAGCGAACAGGAUUAGAUACCCUGGUAGUCCACGCCGUAAACGAUGAGUGCUAGGUGUUGGAUCCUUUCCGGGAUUCAGUGCCGCAGCUAACGCAUUAAGCACUCCGCCUGGGGAGUACGACCGCAAGGUUGAAACUCAAAGGAAUUGACGGGGGCCCGCACAAGCGGUGGAGCAUGUGGUUUAAUUCGAAGCAACGCGAAGAACCUUACCAGGUCUUGACAUCCCGAUGCUAUUUCUAGAGAUAGAAAGUUACUUCGGUACAUCGGUGACAGGUGGUGCAUGGUUGUCGUCAGCUCGUGUCGUGAGAUGUUGGGUUAAGUCCCGCAACGAGCGCAACCCCUAUUGUUAGUUGCCAUCAUUCAGUUGGGCACUCUAGCGAGACUGCCGGUAAUAAACCGGAGGAAGGUGGGGAUGACGUCAAAUCAUCAUGCCCCUUAUGACCUGGGCUACACACGUGCUACAAUGGUUGGUACAACGAGUUGCGAGUCGGUGACGGCGAGCUAAUCUCUUAAAGCCAAUCUCAGUUCGGAUUGUAGGCUGCAACUCGCCUACAUGAAGUCGGAAUCGCUAGUAAUCGCGGAUCAGCACGCCGCGGUGAAUACGUUCCCG